CAAAUUCUGAGCGGAUAGGAGAAUUUUUACUUUUUUUGGCGGUCAGAGGUGGCUCUUGCGCGGCAACGGGCAGCGGUCGGCUCUCUUCUUCGGCGACUGGUUCUUCUUCUCCGGCGGAGGAAUGGCGGCUAAGGUUUGGGUUCAGUGUGAUGCGAGGUAUUUAUACUUGUCUCGCUUAAAUCUGGACCGUUCAUUGCUUUUGAUCUCGACCAUCCGACUGCGUUUAAAGAGAAAAUGAAUCUGGAUCGUUCAUCAUAAUUUGAUCUCGAUCGUCCAAUAACGUUUAAAGAGAAAACGAAUCUGGACCGUUCAUCGUGUUUAAUCAUGACUAUCCAAUCGUGCCUGAGGAGAGAACAGAUCUAGACUGUCCACACGCACAGGAACGCU
RNAcentral lists this long non-coding RNA (387 nucleotides) under Carica papaya (papaya). RNAcentral describes it as "long non-coding RNA (CPAP_LNC001154)". The record is from RNAcentral. Lineage: Eukaryota; Viridiplantae; Streptophyta; Magnoliopsida; Brassicales; Caricaceae.